UCAAAACUAGCCACUUGUUCUUUUUUAAUUGGUUCUUAGUGUGUAAAAAUAUUCUAAGAACCAAUUAGAAAAUGACAAAUGACUAAUAUUGC
RNAcentral lists this microRNA precursor (92 nucleotides) under Prunus persica (peach). RNAcentral's name for it is "MIR6288 microRNA precursor family". It matches the Rfam family "MIR6288 microRNA precursor family". The record is from Rfam by way of RNAcentral. Lineage: Eukaryota; Viridiplantae; Streptophyta; Magnoliopsida; Rosales; Rosaceae.